CUUUUCAACUGCCUCACAAGGACAUGUUUGCAAACAGUGACUCAUUCUGGUAUUCUGGUGAACCUAUGGAGCAGGAUGCCUCAGUAUAAGUAAUAUGCAGAUCUUAAAAAGUCACUCUUGGGCUGGAGAGUUGGCUUGGUGGUUAAG
Molecule: long non-coding RNA, 147 nt
Filed under: Jaculus jaculus (lesser Egyptian jerboa)
Lineage: Eukaryota; Metazoa; Chordata; Mammalia; Rodentia; Dipodidae
Description: FTX transcript, XIST regulator conserved region 3 (ENSJJAG00000008688.1)
Rfam family: FTX transcript, XIST regulator conserved region 3
Source: RNAcentral